UACGAGAGGUGCAAGCGUUAUUCGGAAUCAUUGGGCGUAAAGGGUGCGUAGACGGCGUGAUAAGUCUGUUGUUAAAUAUCCUGGCCUAACCAGGAAAAUGCAAUGGAAACUGUCAUGCUAGAGGGUGAGAGAGAGAAGUGGAAUUCCAGGAGUUAGCGGUCAAAUGCGUAGAUCUCUGGAGGAACACCGAUGGCGAAGGCAGCUUCUUGGCUCAUUCCUGACGUUGAUGCACGAAAGCGUGGGGAGCAAACAGG
RNAcentral lists this ribosomal RNA (254 nucleotides) under uncultured bacterium. RNAcentral describes it as "partial 16S ribosomal RNA". It matches the Rfam family "Bacterial small subunit ribosomal RNA", at positions 524 to 776 of the family's 1533-position model. The record is from RNAcentral.